GGGGAAUUAGCUCAAGUGGUAGAGCGCUCGCUUAUCAUGUGAGAAGUACCGGGAUCGAUACCCGGAUUUUCCA
This 73-nucleotide transfer RNA is filed under the name Saccoglossus kowalevskii. RNAcentral's name for it is "tRNA-Asp". It matches the Rfam family "tRNA". Rfam says of the family: Transfer RNA (tRNA) molecules are approximately 80 nucleotides in length. Their secondary structure includes four short double-helical elements and three loops (D, anti-codon, and T loops). Further hydrogen bonds mediate the characteristic L-shaped molecular structure. tRNAs have two regions of fundamental functional importance: the anti-codon, which is responsible for specific mRNA codon recognition, and the 3' end, to which the tRNAs corresponding amino acid is attached (by aminoacyl-tRNA synthetases). tRNAs cope with the degeneracy of the genetic code in two manners: having more than one tRNA (with a specific anti-codon) for a particular amino acid; and 'wobble' base-pairing, i.e. permitting non-standard base-pairing at the 3rd anti-codon position. The record is from RNAcentral. Lineage: Eukaryota; Metazoa; Hemichordata; Enteropneusta; Harrimaniidae.